CAGUCCCUGUCAGGACACAGCAUGGACAUGAGGACCUCCACUCAGCUCCUGGGGCUCCUGCUGCUCUGGCUCCCAGGUGCCAAAUGUGACAUCCAGAUGACCCAGGCUCCAUCCUCCCUGUCAGCAUCUGUAGGAGACAAAGUCACCAUCACUUGCCAAGCCAGUCAGGAAAUUAGCAAUUAUUUAAACUGGUAUCAGCAGAAACCAGGGAAAUCUCCUAAGCUCCUGAUCAAGAGGAUAUCCACAUUACAGCCUGGGGUCCCAUCAAGGUUCAGCGGCAGUGGCUCUGGGACCCAUUUUACCCUCACCAUCAGCAGACUGCAGGCUGAAGAUUUUGCAACUUAUUACUGUCAGCAGUGGGACAGUUUUCCUCCCACAGUGUUAUAA
This is a non-coding RNA of Otolemur garnettii (small-eared galago), 387 nucleotides long. The record is from the annotation of a RefSeq genome assembly. Lineage: Eukaryota; Metazoa; Chordata; Mammalia; Primates; Galagidae.